UCGAGCGAGCUUGCCUAGAUGAUUUUAGUGCUUGCACUAAAUGAAACUAGAUACAAGCGAGCGGCGGACGGGUGAGUAACACGUGGGUAACCUGCCCAAGAGACUGGGAUAACACCUGGAAACAGAUGCUAAUACCGGAUAACAACACUAGACGCAUGUCUAGAGUUUGAAAGAUGGUUCUGCUAUCACUCUUGGAUGGACCUGCGGUGCAUUAGCUAGUUGGUAAGGUAACGGCUUACCAAGGCAAUGAUGCAUAGCCGAGUUGAGAGACUGAUCGGCCACAUUGGGACUGAGACACGGCCCAAACUCCUACGGGAGGCAGCAGUAGGGAAUCUUCCACAGUGGACGAAAGUCUGAUGGAGCAACGCCGCGUGAGUGAAGAAGGGUUUCGGCUCGUAAAGCUCUGUUGGUAGUGAAGAAAGAUAGAGGUAGUAACUGGCCUUUAUUUGACGGUAAUUACUUAGAAAGUCACGGCUAACUACGUG
Molecule: ribosomal RNA, 485 nt
Filed under: uncultured Lactobacillus sp.
Lineage: Bacteria; Bacillati; Bacillota; Bacilli; Lactobacillales; Lactobacillaceae
Description: bacterial SSU rRNA
Rfam family: Bacterial small subunit ribosomal RNA
Source: RNAcentral